UACGUAGGUGGCAAGCGUUAUCCGGAAUUAUUGGGCGUAAAGCGCGCGCAGGUGGUUUCUUAAGUCUGAUGUGAAAGCCCACGGCUCAACCGUGGAGGGUCAUUGGAAACUGGGAGACUUGAGUGCAGAAGAGGAAAGUGGAAUUCCAAGUGUAGCGGUGAAAUGCGUAGAGAUUUGGAGGAACACCAGUGGCGAAGGCGACUUUCUGGUCUGUAACUGACACUGAGGCGCGAAAGCGUGGGGAGCAAACAGG
Molecule: ribosomal RNA, 253 nt
Filed under: uncultured bacterium
Lineage: Bacteria
Description: partial 16S ribosomal RNA
Rfam family: Bacterial small subunit ribosomal RNA
Source: RNAcentral